RNAcentral lists this ribosomal RNA (1270 nucleotides) under Salmonella enterica. RNAcentral's name for it is "partial 23S ribosomal RNA". It matches the Rfam family "Bacterial large subunit ribosomal RNA", at positions 1687 to 2925 of the family's 2925-position model. Lineage: Bacteria; Pseudomonadati; Pseudomonadota; Gammaproteobacteria; Enterobacterales; Enterobacteriaceae. The record is from RNAcentral.
CGCUUGAGAGAACUCGGGUGAAGGAACUAGGCAAAAUGGUGCCGUAACUUCGGGAGAAGGCACGCUGACACGUAGGUGAAGUGAUUUACUCACGGAGCUGAAGUCAGUCGAAGAUACCAGCUGGCUGCAACUGUUUAUUAAAAACACAGCACUGUGCAAACACGAAAGUGGACGUAUACGGUGUGACGCCUGCCCGGUGCCGGAAGGUUAAUUGAUGGGGUCAGCGCAAGCGAAGCUCCUGAUCGAAGCCCCGGUAAACGGCGGCCGUAACUAUAACGGUCCUAAGGUAGCGAAAUUCCUUGUCGGGUAAGUUCCGACCUGCACGAAUGGCGUAAUGAUGGCCAGGCUGUCUCCACCCGAGACUCAGUGAAAUUGAACUCGCUGUGAAGAUGCAGUGUACCCGCGGCAAGACGGAAAGACCCCGUGAACCUUUACUAUAGCUUGACACUGAACAUUGAGCCUUGAUGUGUAGGAUAGGUGGGAGGCUUUGAAGUGUGGACGCCAGUCUGCAUGGAGCCGACCUUGAAAUACCACCCUUUAAUGUUUGAUGUUCUAACGUGGACCCGUUACCCGGGUUGCGGACAGUGUCUGGUGGGUAGUUUGACUGGGGCGGUCUCCUCCUAAAGAGUAACGGAGGAGCACGAAGGUUGGCUAAUCCUGGUCGGACAUCAGGAGGUUAGUGCAAUGGCAUAAGCCAGCUUGACUGCGAGCGUGACGGCGCGAGCAGGUGCGAAAGCAGGUCAUAGUGAUCCGGUGGUUCUGAAUGGAAGGGCCAUCGCUCAACGGAUAAAAGGUACUCCGGGGAUAACAGGCUGAUACCGCCCAAGAGUUCAUAUCGACGGCGGUGUUUGGCACCUCGAUGUCGGCUCAUCACAUCCUGGGGCUGAAGUAGGUCCCAAGGGUAUGGCUGUUCGCCAUUUAAAGUGGUACGCGAGCUGGGUUUAGAACGUCGUGAGACAGUUCGGUCCCUAUCUGCCGUGGGCGCUGGAGAACUGAGGGGGGCUGCUCCUAGUACGAGAGGACCGGAGUGGACGCAUCACUGGUGUUCGGGUUGUCAUGCCAAUGGCACUGCCCGGUAGCUAAAUGCGGAAGAGAUAAGUGCUGAAAGCAUCUAAGCACGAAACUUGCCCCGAGAUGAGUUCUCCCUGAGACUUUAGGUCUCCUGAAGGAACGUUGAAGACGACGACGUUGAUAGGCCGGGUGUGUAAGCGCAGCGAUGCGUUGAGCUAACCGGUACUAAUGAACCGUGAGGCUUAACCUUACAACGCCG